This 460-nucleotide ribosomal RNA is filed under the name uncultured bacterium. RNAcentral's name for it is "partial 16S ribosomal RNA". It matches the Rfam family "Bacterial small subunit ribosomal RNA", at positions 338 to 795 of the family's 1533-position model. The record is from RNAcentral.
CCUACGGAUGGCAGCAGUGAGGAAUAUUGGUCAAUGGGCGCGAGCCUGAACCAGCCAAGUAGCGUGAAGGAUGACUGCCCUACGGGUUGUAAACUUCUUUUAUAAAGGAAUAAAGUGAGGCACGUGUGCCUUUUUGUAUGUACUUUAUGAAUAAGGAUCGGCUAACUCCGUGCCAGCAGCCGCGGUAAUACGGAGGAUCCGAGCGUUAUCCGGAUUUAUUGGGUUUAAAGGGAGCGUAGAUGGGUUGUUAAGUCAGUUGUGAAAGUUUGCGGCUCAACCGUAAAAUUGCAAUUGAUACUGGCAGUCUUGAGUACAGUUGAGGUAGGCGGAAUUCGUGGUGUAGCGGUGAAAUGCUUAGAUAUCACGAAGAACACCAGUGGCGAAGGCGGAUGACUGGACGGCAACUGACGGUGAGGCGCGAAAGCGUGGGGAGCAAACAGGAUUAGAUACCCUAGUAGUC